CUUUGUCCCAGAGUUUUCGGUGCCUGAUGCUGCUUCAUGGUAGCUUUCACGGCUUAAAAGGGAAUCCGGUAAAGGCCGGAGCUGUCCCCGCAACUGUACGUCUUAGUAACAUCCGGUUCUUCUGCAUGGUCACUGCGCUUCGGUGCGGGAAGGCCCGAACCGGAAAGAUAAGCCAGGAGACCUGCCGACGACGAUCCGUUGUU
Molecule: non-coding RNA, 203 nt
Filed under: Spirosoma montaniterrae
Lineage: Bacteria; Pseudomonadati; Bacteroidota; Cytophagia; Cytophagales; Cytophagaceae
Source: RNAcentral